UGGUACACUUCGAUUUUCCC
RNAcentral lists this non-coding RNA (20 nucleotides) under Mus musculus (house mouse). Lineage: Eukaryota; Metazoa; Chordata; Mammalia; Rodentia; Muridae. The record is from RNAcentral.